Long non-coding RNA from Octopus bimaculoides (California two-spot octopus), 485 nucleotides. RefSeq lists it as uncharacterized. Lineage: Eukaryota; Metazoa; Mollusca; Cephalopoda; Octopoda; Octopodidae. The record is from RefSeq and is a predicted model, not a curated record.
AACUGUGGGGAGAGAGUAAGAGGAAGUAAUCAGAGAUAGUGGCUUGACUAAUGACAAGAGCAGCAAUAGCAGUAAACAUAAGAAAGAGAGUACUAGUGAGUUGAUGUAAAAACUUUCACAUAGACACACACGCACACACCGAAACGAAAUCAAUGCCCAAUGCACAGGUGUUCAUUUCAGCUUGUCAUCUUCCUAACGAAACCAUGAGGGAAAUAUUUCUAAAAUCUUCAAGAACCGAUCAUUUGGGUAUUGAAGCAAUUACACCUUCGUUAACCAAAAGGUGAUACUUUCAUCCCAUGUAUUUUGGUUUUUGAUCAUCACAGUAGACCCAACACAAAUCCCAUUAUUCUCUACAUCGACCCUAAUGAAUUGUCAGUGUUCAUGAGACAAUCGUUUGUUUUCCUUCUACCCAUAUUUCUGGCAAAUCUUUUUUCGUAAUUCUAUUUUAUUACAAAGACCAUUUUAUAAAAGGAUAAAAAAAAUUA